UCCUUCUUAGCUCAGUUGGUAGAGCGCGUCACUAGUAAUUUGAUUAUGUAAUGACGAGGUCAGUCGUUCAAGUCGGCUAGAAGGAA
Molecule: transfer RNA, 86 nt
Filed under: Lentinula boryana
Lineage: Eukaryota; Fungi; Basidiomycota; Agaricomycetes; Agaricales; Omphalotaceae
Description: tRNA-Thr
Rfam family: tRNA
About the family: Transfer RNA (tRNA) molecules are approximately 80 nucleotides in length.
Source: RNAcentral